CAGUCAUACCAACGGGAAAUCAACCUUUUGAGCUUGGUUUCGUGGGUUUUGAAGAGUUUCAAAGCCUUCGGAUUCGCGAGAUUGGGAUCUCUCGGUGUACUUUCUCGUACGGUUAGUCAACAUCGGUUUUGAAUGUCAUAAAAUGACUGGAGGAAUGUAGCUUCGAUCUCGUAUUGAAGUGUUAUAGCCUUUGGUAGAUGUGAUGUUUGAGACCGAGGAUUGCAACGGAUACCCUUCAGGGCUAUUCGUCUGAUCUCUGAUACGUUGCCCUGAUGUUGAAAGCUUGCUUAUGAUGUUAGGGUAUUACGGUCAAAAGGUUAGAACGAAUUACA
RNAcentral lists this ribosomal RNA (332 nucleotides) under uncultured Glomeromycotina. RNAcentral's name for it is "eukaryotic LSU rRNA". The record is from RNAcentral. Lineage: Eukaryota; Fungi; Glomeromycota.